UAGGUGGCGAGCGUUAUCCGGAAUUAUUGGGCGUAAAGGGUGCGCAGGCGGCAAGAGAAGCUUAAGUUGAAAGCGUGGGGCUCAACUCCAUAAAGGCUUAGGAACUGACUUGCUGGAGUGCAGGAGAGGGCGAUGGAAUUCCAUGUGUAGCGGUAAAAUGCGUAGAGAUAUGGAGGAACACCAGUGGCGAAGGCGGUCGCCUGGCCUGUAACUGACGCUGAGGCACGAAAGCGUGGGGAGCAAA
This 244-nucleotide ribosomal RNA is filed under the name uncultured bacterium. RNAcentral's name for it is "partial 16S ribosomal RNA". It matches the Rfam family "Bacterial small subunit ribosomal RNA", at positions 528 to 772 of the family's 1533-position model. The record is from RNAcentral.